GCAGUCGCGCGUCCCUAGCUAUGAUGGGAAGCGGCGAAAAGCUCCGUAACGUGUAGUUAACCUACCCUCAGGACGGGAAUACCUUCGGGAAACUGAAGAUAAUUCCCGAUAAUUGAUUAGGCCUGGAAUGGUUUUUCAUCCAAAGGUAUCGUCUCAUGCGAUGAUAUCGCCCGAGGAUGGGACUGCAUCUGAUUAGCUUGUUGGUGGGGUAACGGCCCACUAAGGCGAUAAUCAGUACGGGCUGUGAGAGCAGUAGCCCGGAGAUGGAUACUGAGACAACGAUCCAGGCGCUACGGCGCGCAGCAGGCGCGAAACCUCCGCAAUACACGCAAGUGUGACGGGGCCAUCCCAAGUGCCAUCCGAUAAGGGUGGCUUUUGCCCAGUGUAAGUAGCUGGGAGAAUAAGGGGAGGGCAAGGCUGGUGCCAGCCGCCGCGGUAAAACCAGCUCCUCGAGUAGUCGGGAGUAUUAUUGGGUCUAAAGCGUCCGUAGCCGGCCCUGUAAGUUCCUGGUCAAAUCCAGCGGCCUAACCGUUGGUUCGCUGGGGAUACUGCAGGGCUUGGGAACGAGAGAGGCCAAGGGUACUUAUGGGGUAGGGGUGAAAUCCUGUAAUCCCAUAGGGACCACCGGUGGCGAAGGCGCUUGGCUGGAACGUGUCCGACGGUGAGGGACGAAAGCCAGGGGAGCGAACCGGAUUAGAUACCCGGGUAGUCCUGGCUGUAAACGAUGCGGGCUAGGUGUUUGCGUGGCUA
Molecule: ribosomal RNA, 750 nt
Filed under: uncultured archaeon
Lineage: Archaea
Description: bacterial SSU rRNA
Rfam family: Archaeal small subunit ribosomal RNA
Source: RNAcentral